UAUCUUUCGCCGCAUUUAUUAUUAGAUUUAUCUAUAUUUCAGCCAUUACUGUAACCAAUUGGAGAAACUAGAUAUGAGUGUGAUCAACUUCGAACAAAUACAUACUCAGAACUUCAAUAUCUAGUUUGUCAAAAUGCGAACUUGGAAUGGAAUUAAAUCUACCAAUAAACACAGAUUCCUACAAAACUGUGCUAAAUUUGAACGACAGACCACCAUAAAAGCAAUAGAUAUCCAGCUAUGCCUAUAACUGGACACCGGACUACAGGAAUUUGUACCUUCAGAACUCAAACAAUGAAAAAACAUGGGAACACAGGCACUGGCAGUGCGCUGCAGAAGUAUAUCUUCACAAUUUCAAAGCCUUUUACUAAAGAGGAACACAACACAAAUCACUUGCCGGAGACUAUCAACCUUGCUGCUGCCGGACACUCAAACAUUUCCACUUCUCCGCCGUUCCUGCAAACUUCCAACUACUGCCAGCAACACCUCUGUUUGGAUCUACACCUCAUAAAUAAGUUCAACGGACAUUAAACAUUAAAAUUGUACUGAAACCGCCGUUGUAUAAUAAGUUUAACUCAAAAUAUUUAAAUAUGAUGGCAAAAGACUUACAAAUUGAUGUGGCACUAUUGUAUCAUUACUAUUUAUAAUAAACAAUGCUACAU
Cydia splendana is the source of this 659-nucleotide long non-coding RNA. RefSeq lists it as uncharacterized. Lineage: Eukaryota; Metazoa; Arthropoda; Insecta; Lepidoptera; Tortricidae. The record is from RefSeq and is a predicted model, not a curated record. The transcript has 2 exons.